Long non-coding RNA from Girardinichthys multiradiatus, 2092 nucleotides. RefSeq lists it as uncharacterized. The transcript is spliced from 2 exons. NCBI's taxonomy places the organism in Eukaryota, Metazoa, Chordata, Actinopteri, Cyprinodontiformes, Goodeidae. The record is from RefSeq and is a predicted model, not a curated record.
GGGAGGAAUGUGUUGGGGUAGCGAGCGGGGCUAGGGGUGGCCGGGCCCACGCCCGGAAGAGAAUCCAGGCCAAAAUGAAUCAAAUAAGCGACUGGGCUUUAGGAGGGGUGGAACGAUUAGCAGAGCUGAAAUCAGAUCUUAAAACAUAAAUAAUCACUUCCCAUAUAACAAAACACUAUUUCUAGUCAUUUCCACAACACAGGCUGCAGAGAACAUGAAAAAGGUAGAAGAGAUAAAAAGAAAUGUAGGGAAGAUAACAAAAUACAUACAUGCAUAAAAACGCUUCAGGUGGACUUUGAAUUAUACUGUGAAUAAUAAAUGUGUUUGCAUUGCUAUAAAAUGCUUCAGUAGGUUUCUGUGACUUAAAAGCAAUAAUGGAUCAUUUCAAAACUUUUCCACCUUUAAUGUGACGUGUAUGCUGCUCCAGUCCUGGCUAAAAUAUGCCAGAACGUUGCGGGAGAAUGUGUUUCAGCUUGAUAAAACCAAACUUCAACUUUUGGUCUGUGAUUCUUAAAGCUGAGAGUGGCGCAAAAAGGAGACAGAGAAUCACGGAACCAGAACCAUACUACCCUCAGUGAAACACGGUGGUGGCAGCAUCAUGAUUUGGGAUUACAGAGCUCAAUAACUGAAUCAGUAGUUGCUUCAACCAGGUUAUUGUUUACAUUUUCUGACUGGUUUAUUAGUUAGACUGCACAAGAUAUGGCAUUAAAGGAGGAAAACGUUUUGAAAUGAAUCAUCAUGGUAUCAUUAUUUUACGUCACAUAAACCUGCCGUUUUCACAUGGCUGUGUACUGUGUAUAUUCACUGCAAAAGCACAUCGGCACUUUGAAACAAAGUCAACAAAGAAAAAUGCAAAAUAUGUUUGAAUAUUUUGCUGUUGUAUGUAAAACAAACUUUUUCCAGUGUGUUUGGAUAUAUUUUGACAUUCUCACAUCUUUAUUACUUCUAAAUAACUGGCUGUCCUUCCAGUUAUUUAGGCUAAAUUCAGGGUUGGUUUUUGAGCUCUCUGGUAAUUGUUUUCCCACUAUUCUGUGAAUAGUGGCUGGGAUUAAGCUUUUAAGCUGUUAUAUUUCAUAUAUUUAUUAGCUACUGUUAGUCAGGUUCCACACCUCUCUGGUCAGUUUGUCUCCAGUUGAAGCUCCACGGUCCAUUCUUUCGCGACUGCUCUGUGGUCAGUGUCGCUAACCUGUCUUAACUUCAGUUUCCAGUGGGAGUUGGCGGGGGGGUGUUUGCUCACCAAGGAAUGGAAACGUGAAACGCGUUUGUCUGUUGGUCAGUUUUUAAAGUGCUCCGCUUUUUCAUUGUCUUGUCUUUGUUGUGUGCUCUCCUCUCCCCACUGAGAUGUCCAUCUGGUCUCAACUGCUUGCGCAGUGUGCCACCUACAGCAGACUAAGAGGUGAUGAAACGUACCAGGACAUUUUCAGAGACUUUUCACACAUGGCCUCCAAUAACCCAGAGAAGCUCAGACGCCGCAGUGCAGAUCCCAAAUCUUAACCAGCCACAUAACCCUCCCCUCCACCAAUUGUUCUGUCCAGUUCCAUCUUCCACAGCCCCCCAACACCCAAAAGCAGAAAAGGCUGAGCUCUCAAGACACAUCCAUUCUCUCUGGCUUCCUUCCACAUGUUGAGCUCAGCUGGUGCUGACUUCAGAGACGUGGGGUAUGAACGCUCCGAACAGGGAAUGCUUUGUGCGAUCACGUCAGCGCAGAACAAUCGCGUCCAAGUGGAAACACUGGAGCAGCUUUAUGAAUCCAGCAUGAGGUGUUACUAUGUCCCGCAGAGCGGCGCCAUCACUCUGCCAAGAGUUCCUAAUUAAAAUCAGUAAUUCUGAUUUCUUUCCUUUCGGUUUAUUUUAACAAAAAUGGGCUGUUUUUUUGGUUAUCGUUCGUUUUUGUUUAAUACUGACUUUUUAAAAGGAUGGUUGCAAGGAGACAUAAAUGUUACAAAAAGAACAUUUUUGUUUCAAUAAAAUACAAUAAAAACUGCACUUGGCAGAUUUCUACAUUACAAAAGACAAUAUUUAUGUAUAUUUUCUCUACAUCAUGUGAGCAUCUUUAAAUUUGUAUUUGACCAAAUAAAACAGUGCAACCUUA